UACGUAGGGUGCAGGCGUUAAUCGGAAUUACUGGGCGUAAAGCGUGCGCAGGCGGUCUUUUAAGUCAGAUGUGAAAUCCCCGGGCUUAACCUGGGAACUGCGUUUGAAACUGAAAGGCUAGAGUGUGGCAGAGGGGGGUGGAAUUCCACGUGUAGCAGUGAAAUGCGUAGAGAUGUGGAGGAACACCGAUGGCGAAGGCAGCCCCCUGGGCUAACACUGACGCUCAUGCACGAAAGCGUGGGGAGCAAACGGG
RNAcentral lists this ribosomal RNA (253 nucleotides) under uncultured bacterium. RNAcentral's name for it is "partial 16S ribosomal RNA". It matches the Rfam family "Bacterial small subunit ribosomal RNA", at positions 524 to 776 of the family's 1533-position model. The record is from RNAcentral.